AGUGAACGCUGGCGGUAGGCCUAACACAUGCAAGUCGAACGGCAGCACAGUAAGAGCUUGCUCUUACGGGUGGCGAGUGGCGGACGUGUGAGGAAUACAUCGGAAUCUACUUUUUCGUGGGGGAUAACGUAGGGAAACUUACGCUAGUACCGCAUACGACCUACGGGUGAAAGCAGGGGAUCUUCGGACCUUGCGCGAUUGAAUGAGCCGAUGUCGGAUUAGCUAGUUGGCGGGGUAAAGGCCCACCAAGGCGACGAUCCGUAGCUGGUCUGAGAGGAUGAUCAGCCACACUGGAACUGAGACACGGUCCAGACUCCUACGGGAGGCAGCAGUGGGGAAUAUUGGACAAUGGGCGCAAGCCUGAUCCAGCCAUACCGCGUGGGUGAAGAAGGCCUUCGGGUUGUAAAGCCCUUUUGUUGGGAAAGAAAAGCAGCAGGUUAAUACCCAGCUGUUCUGACGGUACCCAAAGAAUAAGCACCGGCUAACUUCGUG
This 492-nucleotide ribosomal RNA is filed under the name uncultured bacterium. RNAcentral describes it as "partial 16S ribosomal RNA". It matches the Rfam family "Bacterial small subunit ribosomal RNA", at positions 29 to 507 of the family's 1533-position model. The record is from RNAcentral.